This 483-nucleotide ribosomal RNA is filed under the name uncultured bacterium. RNAcentral's name for it is "bacterial SSU rRNA". It matches the Rfam family "Bacterial small subunit ribosomal RNA", at positions 32 to 524 of the family's 1533-position model. The record is from RNAcentral.
AAUCAACGCUGGCGGCGUGCCUCAGACAUGCAAGUCGAACGAUUAAGACUCUCUUCGGAGAGUGUAUAAAGUGGCGCACGGGUGAGUAACACGUAGGUAAUGUACCGAAGGGUGGGGAAUAACUUAGGGAAACUUAAGCUAAUACCGCAUAAUGCAGCGGCUCGACAUCGAGACAGUUGUUAAAGGAGCAAUCCGCCUUUUGAGCAGCCUGCGGCAGAUUAGCUAGUUGGUAAGGUAAUGGCUUACCAAGGCUACGAUCUGUAACCGACCUGAGAGGGUGGUCGGUCACACUGACACUGAAUAACGGGUCAGACUCCUACGGGAGCAGCAGUCGGGAAUUUUGGGCAAUGGGCGAAAGCCUGACCCAGCAACGCCGCGUGAAGGAUGAAGUAUUUCGGUAUGUAAACUUCGUAAGAAUAGGAAGAAUAAAUGACGGUACUAUUUGUAAGGUCCGGCUAACUACGUGCCAGCAGCCGCGGUAAU